CGCGGAGUGGAGCAGUUCAAUUUCGCGGCGUGGAGCCGUUGGAAGGUCGUAGGUUCAAGUCCUGCCUCCGCAACCA
RNAcentral lists this transfer RNA (76 nucleotides) under Clostridioides difficile. Its description in RNAcentral is "tRNA-Pro". The record is from RNAcentral. Lineage: Bacteria; Bacillati; Bacillota; Clostridia; Peptostreptococcales; Peptostreptococcaceae.